GUGGGGAAUAUUGGGCAAUGGGGGCAACCCUGACCCAGCGACGCCGCGUGAGGGAAGACGGCCUUCGGGUUGUAAACCUCUUUUGUACGGGAAGAAGGAAGUGACGGUACUGUACGAAUAAGUCCCGGCUAACUACGUGCCAGCAGCCGCGGUAAUACGUAGGGGACGAGCGUUGUCCGGAAUUACUGGGCGUAAAGGGCGCGCAGGCUGUGCUGCAAGUCAGCUGUGAAAUGUCUGGGCUUAACCCGGGCAUGCGGUUGAGACUGCAGUGCUGGAGUGCUGUAGAGGCAAGUGGAAUUCCCAGUGUAGCGGUGAAAUGCGUAGAUAUUGGGAAGAACACCGGUGGCGAAGGCGACUUGCUGGGCAGCAACUGACGCUGAGGCGCGAAAGCCAGGGGAGCAAACGGGAUUAGAAACCCGAGUAGUCC
RNAcentral lists this ribosomal RNA (427 nucleotides) under uncultured bacterium. RNAcentral describes it as "partial 16S ribosomal RNA". It matches the Rfam family "Bacterial small subunit ribosomal RNA", at positions 354 to 796 of the family's 1533-position model. The record is from RNAcentral.